GACGAACGCUGGCGGCGUGCCUAAUACAUGCAAGUCGAACGAAGCUGUUUUAACUGGUGCUUGCACCGACUUAAACAACUGAGUGGCGAACGGGUGAGUAACACGUGGGUAACCUGCCCAAAGCGGGGGAUAACAUUUGGAAACAGAUGCUAAUACCGCAUAACCACAGAAACCACAUGGUUUCUGUGUCAAAGAUGGUUUCGGCUAUCACUUUGGGAUGGACCCGCGGCGUAUUAGCUAGUUGGUAAGGUAAUGGCUUACCAAGGCAAUGAUACGUAGCCGAACUGAGAGGUUGAUCGGCCACAUUGGGACUGAGACACGGCCCAAACUCCUACGGGAGGCAGCAGUAGGGAAUCUUCCACAAUGGACGAAAGCCUGAUGGAGCAACGCCGCGUGAGUGAAGAAGGUUUUCGGAUCGUAAAACUCUGUUGUCAGAGAAGAACGUGUGCGAGAGUAACUGUUCGUGCAGUGACGGUAUCUGGCCAGAAAGCCACGGCUAACUACGUGCCAGCAGCCGCGGUAA
RNAcentral lists this ribosomal RNA (523 nucleotides) under uncultured bacterium. RNAcentral describes it as "partial 16S ribosomal RNA". It matches the Rfam family "Bacterial small subunit ribosomal RNA", at positions 28 to 523 of the family's 1533-position model. The record is from RNAcentral.